CCUACGGGAGGCAGCAGUGGGGGAUAUUGCACAAUGGGGGAAACCCUGAUGCAGCGACGCCGCGUGGGCGAAGAAGGAUUUCGGUAUGUAAAGCCCUAUCAGUAGGGAAGAAGAAAUGACGGUACCUGAAGAAGAAGCCCCGGCUAACUACGUGCCAGCAGCCGCGGUAAUACGUAGGGGGCAAGCGUUAUCCGGAUUUACGGGGGGUAAAGGGGGCGCAGACGGCGAUGCAAGCCAGGAGUGAAAGCCCGGGGCCCAACCCCGGGACUGCUCUUGGAACUGCGUGGCUGGAGUGCAGGAGGGGCAGGCGGAAUUCCUGGUGUAGCGGUGAAAUGCGUAGAUAUCAGGAGGAACACCGGUGGCGAAGGCGGCCUGCUGGACUGCAACUGACGUUGAGGCCCGAAAGCGUGGGGAGCAAACAGGAUUAGAUACCCGUGUAGUC
RNAcentral lists this ribosomal RNA (442 nucleotides) under uncultured bacterium. RNAcentral's name for it is "partial 16S ribosomal RNA". It matches the Rfam family "Bacterial small subunit ribosomal RNA", at positions 338 to 795 of the family's 1533-position model. The record is from RNAcentral.